GACGAACGCUGGCGGCGUGCUUAACACAUGCCAGUCGAACGGAAAGGCCCUGCUUUUGUGGGGUGCUCGAGUGCGAACGGGUGAGUAACACGUGAGUAACCUGCCCUUGACUUUGGGAUAACUUCAGGAAACUGGGGCUAAUACCGGAUAGGAGCUCCUGCUGCAUGGUGGGGGUUGGAAAGUUUCGGCGGUUGGGGAUGGACUCGCGGCUUAUCAGCUUGUUGGUGGGGUAGUGGCUUACCAAGGCUUUGACGGGUAGCCGGCCUGAGAGGGUGACCGGCCACAUUGGGACUGAGAUACGGCCCAGACUCCUACGGGAGGCAGCAGUGGGGAAUAUUGCACAAUGGGCGGAAGCCUGAUGCAGCAACGCCGCGUGCGGGAUGACGGCCUUCGGGUUGUAAACCGCUUUCGCCUGUGACGAAGCGUGAGUGACGGUAAUGGGUAAAGAAGCACCGGCUAACUACGUG
This 467-nucleotide ribosomal RNA is filed under the name uncultured bacterium. RNAcentral's name for it is "partial 16S ribosomal RNA". It matches the Rfam family "Bacterial small subunit ribosomal RNA", at positions 28 to 507 of the family's 1533-position model. The record is from RNAcentral.